This 497-nucleotide ribosomal RNA is filed under the name uncultured bacterium. RNAcentral describes it as "bacterial SSU rRNA". It matches the Rfam family "Bacterial small subunit ribosomal RNA", at positions 28 to 525 of the family's 1533-position model. The record is from RNAcentral.
GAUGAACGCUAGCGGCAGGCUUAACACAUGCAAGUCGAGGGGUAUUGGUUUUCGGACCAAGAGACCGGCGCACGGGUGCGUAACGCGUAUGCAAUCUACCUUUUGCAGAGGGAUAGCCCAGAGAAAUUUGGAUUAAUACCUCAUAGUAUAGUACUUUGGCAUCAAGGAACUAUUAAAGUCACAACGGCAAAAGAUGAGCAUGCGUCCCAUUAGCUAGUUGGUAAGGUAACGGCUUACCAAGGCUACGAUGGGUAGGGGUCCUGAGAGGGAGAUCCCCCACACUGGUACUGAGACACGGACCAGACUCCUACGGGAGGCAGCAGUGAGGAAUAUUGGACAAUGGGCGCAAGCCUGAUCCAGCCAUGCCGCGUGCAGGAUGACGGUCCUAUGGAUUGUAAACUGCUUUUAUACAGGAAGAAACACUACUUCGUGAAGUAGCUUUGACGGUACUGUAAGAAUAAGGAUCGGCUAACUCCGUGCCAGCAGCCGCGGUAAAG